RNAcentral lists this small nucleolar RNA (96 nucleotides) under Zea mays. RNAcentral describes it as "Small nucleolar RNA Z103". It matches the Rfam family "Small nucleolar RNA Z103". Rfam says of the family: This family consists of several snoRNA Z103 sequences which are members of the C/D class of snoRNA which contain the C (UGAUGA) and D (CUGA) box motifs. Lineage: Eukaryota; Viridiplantae; Streptophyta; Magnoliopsida; Poales; Poaceae. The record is from Rfam by way of RNAcentral.
GAGGAUAUGAUGACCCUUUCUCCAGAUGAUCGACAGUGAACAUAUUGAGCGCCAUAAUUUCUCUUUUGAGAAAACCAAGCCAGAAUUCUGAUCCUC